Molecule: ribosomal RNA, 440 nt
Filed under: uncultured bacterium
Lineage: Bacteria
Description: partial 16S ribosomal RNA
Rfam family: Bacterial small subunit ribosomal RNA
Source: RNAcentral
CCUACGGGAGGCAGCAGUGGGGGAUAUUGCACAAUGGGGGAAACCCUGAUGCAGCGACGCCGCGUGUGGGAAGACGGUCCUCUGGAUUGUAAACCACUGUCCCCAGGGACGAAGAUGACGGUACCUGGGGAGGAAGCUCCGGCUAACUACGUGCCAGCAGCCGCGGUCAUACGUAGGGAGCGAGCGUUGUCCGGAAUUACUGGGUGUAAAGGGAGCGUAGGGGGGUCUGCAAGUUGGGUGUCAAAUCUACCGGCUCAACCGGUAGCCGCACUCAAAACUGCAGUGCUUGAGUGAAGUAGAGGCAGGCGGAAUUCCUAGUGUAGCGGUGAAAUGCGUAGAUAUUAGGAGGAACACCAGUGGCGAAGGCGGCCUGCUGGGCUUUUACUGACGCUGAUGCUCGAAAGUGUGGGGAGCAAACAGGAUUAGAUACCCUAGUAGUC